This 824-nucleotide ribosomal RNA is filed under the name uncultured Flavobacteriales bacterium. Its description in RNAcentral is "bacterial SSU rRNA". It matches the Rfam family "Bacterial small subunit ribosomal RNA", at positions 70 to 889 of the family's 1533-position model. The record is from RNAcentral. Lineage: Bacteria; Pseudomonadati; Bacteroidota; Flavobacteriia; Flavobacteriales.
CAGGUCCCGCAGCAAUGCGGGAUGCUGGCGACCGGCAAACGGGUGCGGAACACGUACACAACCUUCCUUUAAGUGGGGAAUAGCCCAGGGAAACUUGGAUUAAUACCCCGUAACAUAUAGAAGAGGCAUCUCUUUCAUAUUAUAGCUACGGCGCUUGAAGAUGGGUGUGCGGCUGAUUAGGUAGUUGGCGGGGUAACGGCCCACCAAGCCUACGAUCAGUAACUGGUGUGAGAGCACGACCAGUCACACGGGCACUGAGACACGGGCCCGACUCCUACGGGAGGCAGCAGUAAGGAAUAUUGGUCAAUGGACGCAAGUCUGAACCAGCCAUGCCGCGUGGAGGAUGAAGGUCCUCUGGAUUGUAAACUUCUUUUAUCUGGGACGAAAAAAGGGAAUUCUUUCUCACUUGACGGUACCAGAUGAAUAAGCACCGGCUAACUCCGUGCCAGCAGCCGCGGUAAUACGGAGGGUGCAAGCGUUAUCCGGAUUCACUGGGUUUAAAGGGUGCGUAGGUGGGCUUGUAAGUCAGUGGUGAAAUCUCCGGGCUUAACCCGGAAACUGCCAUUGAUACUAUAAGUCUUGAAUACCAUGGAGGUGAGCGGAAUAUGUCAUGUAGCGGCGAAAUGCUUAGAUAUGACAUAGAACACCAAUUGCGAAGGCAGCUCGCUACGCGGUUAUUGACACUGAGGCACGAAAGCGUGGGGAUCAAACAGGAUUAGAUACCCUGGUAGUCCACGCCCUAAACGAUGGAUACUCGACAUCAGCGAUACACUGUUGGUGUCUGAGCGAAAGCAUUAAGUAUCCCACCUGGGAAGUACGACCGC